Molecule: RNA transcript, 1010 nt
Organism: Phoenix dactylifera (date palm)
Lineage: Eukaryota; Viridiplantae; Streptophyta; Magnoliopsida; Arecales; Arecaceae
Gene name: small ribosomal subunit protein bS21c-like
Source: RefSeq, a predicted model, not a curated record
UCUCAACGGAUAAGCUCUCCAGUCUCCACUCUCCAGCACCCUCUCUUCUCCUCCUUUGAACAGGAAAACCGAUGGCGGCUUCCUGUAAUUUUUUCCAACUCCCCUUCGCCAGGAGCCCCGCCUUCCCCUUCCUCCUUUCAUCUCACCCUUACCUCCCAACCCCCUCCCGCCGCUCCUUCGCCCUAUGCUCCGCCUCGCUCCCUCUCCGGCCGCCGUCCGCGGCGGGGCCGCUCGACCCUGCCGUCGCCGCUGUGAACCCGGCCCUCCGGCACGCGAACGUGCUCUUCUUCAAGUCGGGCUACAACGUCCAGGUCUUGGUGGACGAUAACGAGUCCGAGGAGGCCCUCAUGCGGCGGUUCCGGCGGGAGGUGUCGAGGGCCGGGGUGAUCCAGGAGUGCAAGCGGCGGAGGUUCUUCGAGAACAAGCAGGAAGAGAAGAAGCGGAAGGCUCGUGAAGCGGGGCGAAGGAAUAGGAGGAGACGAUCAGGGCCAAGAUUCUUCUCAUCGCCAUCCUCAUCGUCGGCAGCAGCAGCAGCAGAUGGUGGUGCUGCUCCUAAAGACGACGUAGAUGACAACUGGGAUCUGCCAGAGGGUGACCUUCCUUACUGAAAGUUAUGAGUCGCCAAAAUACCUGCACUCCUGCAGGGGGUUUCGGAUGUUAUGAAACAUUACAAUCUUUGAUGGCAUGAUUACUGGUGUGGCAUGCCCGCGCUGCAAACCGAAUUGCAUUGGUUCAAGCAUGUACUCACAAUGUGGGCUUGGGGUAGCUGCUUAGUUGUUAAAGGUUUAAAGGUAGUACAUAUUUAUCGGAAGGCGAAUAGUACGGCAGACUGAGUCGUCUCUUUUAUGGCCCGGCAUUUGGGUGGAGUGAUUUGGACUAGGGUUGGCGAUAUACCUUACUCUCUGUAUCACCUUUUUUUUCUUUUGAUUUGGCAAGUUGUACUCAUGUCAAAACUAUAUGAAUGUCAUUUUUAACCAAAAAAAAAUGAAAAAAACAAACACCUUGCUGCA